This 423-nucleotide ribosomal RNA is filed under the name uncultured Nitrososphaerota archaeon. Its description in RNAcentral is "bacterial SSU rRNA". It matches the Rfam family "Archaeal small subunit ribosomal RNA", at positions 322 to 747 of the family's 1478-position model. The record is from RNAcentral. Lineage: Archaea; Thermoproteati; Nitrososphaerota.
CCUAUGGGGGGCAGCAGGCGCGAAAACUCUGCAAUAAGCGAAAGCUUGACAGGGUUAUUCUGAGUGAUUUCCGCUAAGGAAAUCUUUUGGCACCUCUAAAAAUGGUGCAGAAUAAGGGGUGGGCAAGCCUGGUGUCAGCCGCCGCGGUAAUACCAGCACCCCGAGUGGUCGGGACGAUUAUUGGGCCUAAAGCAUCCGUAGCCGGUUCUACAAGUCUUCCGUUAAAUCCACCUGCUCAACAGUUGGGCUGCGGAGGAUACUAUAGAGCUAGGAGGCGGGAGAGGCAAGCGGUACUCAGUGGGUAGGGGUAAAAUCCGUUGAUCCAUUGAAGACCACCAGUGGCGAAGGCGGCUUGCCAGAACGCACUCGACGGUGAGGGAUGAAAGCUGGGGGAGCAAACCGGAUUAGAUACCCCGGUAGUCC